UACGUAGGGUGCAAGCGUUGUCCGGAAUUAUUGGGCGUGAAGAGCUCGUAGGCGGUUUGUUGCGUCGGCUGUGAAAACCUGAGGCUCAACCUCAGGCCUGCAGUCGAUACGAGCAGACUAGAGUGUUGCAGGGGAGACUGGAAUUCCUGGUGUAGCGGUGAAAUGCGCAGAUAUCAGGAGGAACACCGGUGGCGAAGGCGGGUCUCUGGGCAACAACUGACGCUGAGGAGCGAAAGCGUGGGGAGCGAACAGG
This 253-nucleotide ribosomal RNA is filed under the name uncultured bacterium. RNAcentral describes it as "partial 16S ribosomal RNA". It matches the Rfam family "Bacterial small subunit ribosomal RNA", at positions 524 to 776 of the family's 1533-position model. The record is from RNAcentral.